Long non-coding RNA from Brachypodium distachyon (stiff brome), 1250 nucleotides. RefSeq lists it as uncharacterized. The transcript has 3 exons. The record is from RefSeq and is a predicted model, not a curated record. NCBI's taxonomy places the organism in Eukaryota, Viridiplantae, Streptophyta, Magnoliopsida, Poales, Poaceae.
GCCACCGGACUUGUCACCGACCUCAACAAACAAACACAAGAAAAGAGUACAGCACCGCAAUUUUCGAUGUCGCAAUUUGCUGUCGCAUUGAAACCUCAUGUGUUUACUGGACUGCACUUUAAGAGAUGGCAGUAUAAAUGUCAUAUGUGGCUCGUGGCUAUGGGCGCAUGAUGGGCGGUACAACACGGGAAGACUCAAACAAUUGCUUCUCAGUAGUUGUAUGUUGAGGCUUGUGUUGUAGUCAUCGGUGCGAUCUGUAGUGUGCUGGGAGAUAAGCUCGUUGAUCCUGCACUAUCAGGAUGCCAAAGAGUUGUGGGAUGCGCUCAAUGCUAAGUUUGGCGUAUCUGACGCUGGCAGUGAGUUGUACGUCAUGGAGCAGUUCUUUGACUAUAAUAUGGUUACAAACCGAUCUGUAGUGGAACAAGCUCAUGAGUUACUGACUAUGGCUAAGGAACUUGAGCAAUUCAAGUGUCCACUACCCGACAAGUUUGUCGCCGGGGGCAUCAUCGCCAAGCUUCCUCCCUCCUGGAGGAACUUUGCUACUUCACUAAAACAUAAGAGACAAGAAAUCUCUGUGGAGGACCUGAUUGGAACUCUUGAUGUUGAGGAGAAGGCGAGAGCAAAAGAUGUUGGCCCAAAGGCAACACACAAGAGGAUACGUCCACUGCCAACAUGGUUCAAAGAAACAACCACAACAACAAUAACAACAAGGGAAAGGGAAAAGCAUUCAACAAUGCUGGUCCAAAGAACACUACAACUUUCAAGAAGAAGAAGAAAGGAGGCAACAAGGACAAGGAUCCUUGCUUUGUGUGCGGAGGACUUGGCCAUUGGGCGAGUAACUGCAAGGAGCGCAAAGGAGGACAGAUUCGGCAAAAGUUUGCUAAUUUGAUGGCAACAAUGAAGAUGCAGGCAGGCCAUCAGCUCCUUAGUGACGAUGGGGAACGGCGCCCAUGCUUCUGUUCAGGGUGUUGGCACGGUGGAUCUGAAGUUUACUUCGGGAAAGAUCGUGCAGCUGAGGAACGUGCAGCAUGUGCCCUCCAUUCAGAAGAAUCUUGUUAGUGGAUCCCUCCUGUGCAAGGACGGAUUUAAGUUAGUGUUUGAGUCCAAUAAAGUUAUUUUGUCUAAGUAUGGACAAUUUAUUGGUAAAAGUUAUGAGUGCGGAGGCUUGUUCCGCUUAUCCCUUUCGGAUUUUUGUAAUAAGGUCAUGAACAGCGUCAAUUUUAUUAAUAAUGAGUCUAAUGUUUGGCAUU